This is a long non-coding RNA of Pipra filicauda (Wire-tailed manakin), 433 nucleotides long. RefSeq lists it as uncharacterized. NCBI's taxonomy places the organism in Eukaryota, Metazoa, Chordata, Aves, Passeriformes, Pipridae. The record is from RefSeq and is a predicted model, not a curated record. The transcript is spliced from 3 exons.
CAGCUUUACCUCUGCGCUGUUUGAUUUGAUGCAUAUCAGCAUCCAGCACUUCAUCACAGCAUGGGGUCCAAAUCAACUAUCAAGAACCUGAAGUAGAACACGCUUUCUCCAGUUUUCUGUCAACCUACUCCAGCCAAAGCUAAUUGGAUAGUGCUGGUACUGGGAAAUAUCGGGAUACCGGAUCAUUCAUUGUUUGGGAGGAGCACGGUGAAGCCCUGCUGGGAUUCUUGGAAAGGCAAUGCAAGGAAGCAGAGAAGAAAGGAGGAUGAUUCCCUAGUCCCAGGGUGUACUAUGGAUCCUGCUACAGCCUGCAGCUGUACCACUGGCUCUAGACUGUGAUCUUGUCUGAUCUCCAGCUCAGCUGUGCCAGAUCAGGAAAGAAUGGGAGUUUUACGCCCUAGCUGUCAAGCUGAGUGUCCUCCCUCAUUGUUCU